CAAGAAAGUAACUAGCAUUGGUCCAUCUGGAGAGCAGAUGAAGAAGCUAGAGCAGAGCUACUUAUACAGCUGCUUGGAUAACAUCUGUUGAAUGAUGUAAGUAAAAUGUGUAGCUAUGGAGGAGUUUUGUUGGUUAUAUUCAUAUCUCUAUCCAGCGCUGAUUGAAAGCAGGAGGUGCAAGGGCAUGUGGAAGCAGCCUACCUGUUAUGGUCACAAGGAAGAAAACCUCCAAGUGGAAGUCCUUGGCCCAGAUGGUGCUGGUAUAGUGCAGUUUUCCUCCUCUCUUAUGAGAAAUUCAGUGCCUGAAUUUGGAUGAAGAGGCUUAUGAGGAACUCUGGGAUCUGUCUCCAGCUGCUUUCUUCCUAGCUGAGAAGUCUUCCCCAUCACCUGCUGGUUACGUUGUGGAUGACCCCUGUCAGCUGUGGGAGGUUUAGUGAAUAUACCUAA
Long non-coding RNA from Cygnus olor (mute swan), 447 nucleotides. RefSeq lists it as uncharacterized. The transcript is spliced from 3 exons. The record is from RefSeq and is a predicted model, not a curated record. Lineage: Eukaryota; Metazoa; Chordata; Aves; Anseriformes; Anatidae.